CCUACGGGGGGCAGCAGUGGGGGAUAUUGCACAAUGGGGGGAACCCUGAUGCAGCGACGCCGCGUGGGUGAAGAAGCGCCUCGGCGCGUAAAGCCCUGUCAGCAGGGAAGAAAAUGACGGUACCUGAAGAAGAAGCCCCGGCUAACUACGUGCCAGCAGCCGCGGUAAUACGUAGGGGGCAAGCGUUAUCCGGAUUUACUGGGUGGAAAGGGGGCGCAGACGGCGAUGCAAGCCAGGAGUGAAAGCCCGGGGCCCAACCCCGGGACUGCUCUUGGAACUGCGUGGCUGGAGUGCAGGAGGGGCAGGUGGAAUUCCUGGUGUAGCGGUGAAAUGCGUAGAUAUCAGGAGGAACACCGGUGGCGAAGGCGGCCUGCUGGACGGCAACUGACGUUGAGGCCCGAAAGCGUGGGGAGCAAACAGGAUUAGAUACCCCAGUAGUC
RNAcentral lists this ribosomal RNA (440 nucleotides) under uncultured bacterium. RNAcentral's name for it is "partial 16S ribosomal RNA". It matches the Rfam family "Bacterial small subunit ribosomal RNA", at positions 338 to 795 of the family's 1533-position model. The record is from RNAcentral.